UACUGUUGCAUGAAUGUAUCGUUUUGUUUAGUGUAGUAUUCAUGGACAUUUUUGUCCCUCUUACUAUUAUGCCACAUCAGUGUUAUAGACCAUGAAGCAAACUGAUGCAGUCCAUUGGAUCAAAAUUCUAUAAAUAUAUUGGAGGUAAAAAGCUUAUUCUGCUAGGUUUCCACUAAUUUUCUUCCAAAAAAGAAAGGAAAAAAAUGAGAAUGAAGGAGUUGAGAGAAUUGGCUUUGGCAUACCGCAAGGCUCCCAUAAACAACAUAGAGCCGGUCCUGAAAGAGUUCUUCGAAGAAAUGGAUCCACAGAAGAAAGGUUUCGUAGCGUUUAAGGAGUUCUCAGUUUACAUGGAGAAUUUGGGACGCCCUGAAUUGUGCUCAGAGGAGUUCUUCUCCAAGCUGAACCAAGAUGGAAGUGGAAAGCUCGAUGAUAUGGAUGUAGUAACACUUUUUUACAUUGUUCAUAGUCGUUUGCCUUUUUGCAAUUCUUGCAAAAAGUUUAUAGAGGGUACUUCCUAUUUGGUUUGUGUGAAAUGCUUCCAUGGGAAUAAUAAUGGUAAAACUGAUGCUAAUGAAGAAUCCUUCAAUGUUUGCACUACCUGCUACCUUGAUGAAAAAUUUAAGCAUCAUCACAAUGAAUUCCUCGAUCCAAACCUUCUUCUUCGUCAUUUGAGGAUGAUGCAGCCUGUAGCAGUUUCUUCUACAACUUCUGUGCCUCAAGAUGUUCAGGACCUUAAGAUUGUAGCAAAUUCUUCUACGCCUUCUGCAACUGAUCCGGUUGUAGCAGACAACUCUUCUAAUCUUUCUGCAAAUAAUCAGCUUAAAGCAGGUUCUUCUUCAAAAUCUAUAAAUCAGGUGAAAAUUUAAAAAUUUAUUCUGGGGUGCCCUGGGGGAAUACAAACUAAUUUGGAAAAUAAUAAUUUUUUUAAAUUAAAUAUAUAUAUAUAUAUAUAUAUAUUUUUUUUUUAAUUUGGAAAAAGGUGCAAAAUAACUAUAGAUGUUAAUUAAUGCUAUUUUUUCAAGUGUUAUUUAGUUUUAAGUUUUUGUUGAUGAUAUAUUUCUAGUAUUUUUUGUAACACCCCGUCCCAAAUCGCACUGGAAUCCGUGCACAUUGACCGAGGUUGACCGUUGACCAAGGGGUCAAAAGUUGACUUUUGACUCGGUGGGAAUUUCGAGUAGACCAGGGUACCGUGGCGAAGUGCACGAUGCCACGAGUUCGUAGACUGGUAGCACGUCGAAAACGGAGCUACGGUUUGAAAGUUAUGGACGAAACAAGUUGCGGUCCAAACUGUCCAAGGGGUGCCGGAGUUGACUUUUUGUUUAUGGGGAAUUGAGCUUUGACUCGUGCAUGGUUGUGAAGUGUUCGUCGAUACGAGUUCACAGACUAGCGGCACGCUCAAAACGGACAUCCGGUUAAAAAGUUAUGGACGUUUGAAGUUUACCGUAUACCGUAUUAUUUUAAUGUUUUUGGCUAGGUGAACAGUGAAAUGCCACGUGUCAGGUUCUAAUUGGUCCACGUGGCAUGAACAGUGUCACACAUGGGUUUUUAUUUGGUAAAACUCUCGGGGAAGAGAGAGAAAGAGAGAGAGGAGAGAGAAAGAGAGAGAGAGGACCGCCGGCCACCGGAAUUUUCCACUGUUCCGGACGAUCUACAGUGCACGCGCCGGCCAGCAAGCUUGCCCUCCUCAUUUCCGGCAAAACCUCCAAAUUUCACGGCGAACGGCCGCCGGACGCGCCCGGAUCGGACCUCCGAAGAUCGGCGGCGACUUUUUCCCCUCCACCGCCGGCCACCGCGAAUCGACCCUGUUCCGGCCUAGUUUCUGUACACGCGCCAGCUAGCCUUGAUCCUCUCCUCAAGUCCGACCGACCCACCAAAAAUCACGGCCAUCGGACCACCGACGCGCCGGGAUCGGAGCGUUUUCCGGCGAGGGGCCGGAAAUCUUCAAACGGUGAUUUCUCCGCCGUCCGACCUCCGUUUUGCUCACCGCCAGUCCCGUUGGGUUGCUCUCCUCAAGAUCUACAAGUCUGCAAAAUUUCACGACCAACGGCCACCGCACGCGCCGCCGCCGGCGACGGUUGCCGGUGACCGUGGUGGCUCGCCGGAAAGUACUGUUCCGGCGAGUACCUGAAAUUCCGGCCAGCUCCAGUCCGCAGUGUUCGACCUCCUGAACUCGAAUCCGGCUUCCGUUUCCGCCAAUUCGCGACGGUUUGGGAGAAUUGCGGAGCCGAAACUCGAAAAGCUUUCCGACGAGAUUCCGACCCCGUCGGGUUCAAUCACCGGAAAGUAAGACCGAAUCCGUGAUCCUCAUCACGUGAGCUUCGAUUCGGUGCACGCGCGAGUAGUGGAGUUGAUCCCGAGAAGGAUCUUAGUUGAUUUGCGCUCUCCAGAUGCAGGUAGUACUCCAACGUCCACAAAAAUGUUCUAUUGUGACUAGCUUCAUUGUGGCGUUGGAGCUGGCACUCGGUGUUGGGAAUUUUAUUGGAUGCAGCAUCAUGUGAUAUUUUUAGUGAUGAUAGCAAACAGAUAUGCACAAGGCUUGAGUAUUGCAUUUGUUCAAAAUUAAUAUUGCAAUUUGAUGUGGUAAAUUGAAAAUCAUUUUAAAUAUUUGUUCCAUUUGAUUGUGGUUGGAAUAGCACUGGAUCAAAUUACUUAAAUAUAAGUAUACAUAUAUUGAGUAUAGUA
Molecule: RNA transcript, 2682 nt
Organism: Ziziphus jujuba (common jujube)
Lineage: Eukaryota; Viridiplantae; Streptophyta; Magnoliopsida; Rosales; Rhamnaceae
Exons: 8
Source: RefSeq, a predicted model, not a curated record